This is a long non-coding RNA of Gallus gallus (chicken), 5015 nucleotides long. The record is from Ensembl. Lineage: Eukaryota; Metazoa; Chordata; Aves; Galliformes; Phasianidae.
GUCCAAGACAGCUCAAGGGGAAGAGUUGGAAAGAACUGCUGCAAAUGAUAGCAAAUCAGGAAGUUAAUGUGGGAGCCUGCCCAUUAGAAGCAGACAGCGGGAGAGAGGUCUCUGAAAGAAAUCAGUGAGUUGGUAAUCAAAUUAAUAAGUGAUUUUUUAGCAGUAGUGGAAAAGUUAUUGUAACUGUUCCAUAGCAGGCAACCUCAGCUGCUGGAAAUUUACCUCUUGUGUGGAGCAUAAGGAGAGUCUUUUCCCCACUUAAUCCUCAAUACAAAGUGUGAUGAGGCUUAUUCAGGACCUGGCAGAGGCAGCUCUCCGGACCAGCAGCCUCUUACUCGCCCUUCAGCAGCACUGACCCUGCAGCAGCCCCACAUCACCCACAGAGCAGUUAAAGGAAGCGUACAACCUGAGACCGCGGCGAGCAGAGCUCAAUAUCAGAGCUCGAGACACUGGUCAAUCAAUGAAACCAAGCUACUCAAGUGAAGGGCAGAGCGUGUGCAGCUGCUGUGCCUGGGCUCCAGUUGGGCAUCCUGUCUGCUGAUGGACAGCUGGGAGUUUCCUCACCUCUGAAGUCUCACACUGACUGCCUCCAAGCUUUCCUAAAACACCUCACACUCCCCCAGCGCAGUCUCUGAACCUCCUGACUCUGGCAGUAUUUGUCCUUCCAGGAACACAUUAUGCCUCAGAGCUGUGAUGCACAGAGCUCCCAAGGACGUAAGGAGAGCCCAUAAGCACUGAGACAAACCCAGAACUUGUCAUUUUGCUCCAUUUUCUCAUCUAGAAAAUAUAGAUGUUAGAUAAAGUUGCGCUGGGCUCCUGUAACCUUCUCAUUGACAGGACAUCCCACUGCAGGAAUCCAUCCAUAGAAGAGCUCCUGAGCGAGUACAUGCCCUAUCUCACACUGCCGUGGUGAUUUAAAGACACUUCUGUGCCCACUCCCACUCCUGCUGCCCCUCUUGGAGGAUGGAUAAGCUGCACAUCUGCCCAGCGGUGAACAGGUUCUGCAGCCUUUGCCUGAUGAUGAGCUGCCUGUGCCAGCUUCAAUUAGCUGCAAGGAGCCAGAGGUAUCGGAACUGCUUUACUUGUGCAGAGUAAAUCCUUGCUCUCUGACUUUCCCCAACCCUGGAAUUUAUUCCUCGCUUGGAUCUGACCACAUCUGUGGGUCGGGGAGGCAGACACAGGGGAGCGAGGAGGAGUUUUGCAGCCUGCAGCCUCAGGGAGAAGGAGCUGCAGCUCAGCCUUUCACACUGACCCAUUUUUCCAAAAUGUUUAUGUCUGAUCACCCGCUGCUGUUUACCUCCUGGCCUGCCCUCUUGGCUCACCCUGAGCUCCUUAUCAGCCAGCCUCCGCUAUAUAGGAAAACAAAAUGCUAAGAGUCAGAAAUUGGAGAAAACCCUUUUUGCCAGGCACCGAAGCAUCUGCUAAAGGAGCUGUGCAGAAUUAAUGGUGUGGGCAGGAAGGGCUGCGAGUGGAGACCAGCAGGUGCCCCGGUAGCAGCACACAGACAUAUAAAAGGCAGGGUGCCCUCACCCAGGCAGGAACAACUGCUCUCAGUUUUGGGUAGGAAAGGAUUUUCAGGGCCAGUUAUUAGCUCUGAGCGGUGCAUGCAGCUGAUCCAUCCACACUGGGUGCUUCCACACUGCCUGUCUGCAGCUACUGCAGCAGGAACACUCCGAGCAGGAGGCAGAAAGCCAGUUAGGGCUCUCCACAGAGACUUCUUUCUUAUAGCCCUCCGUAUAUGUAUUUUCUAAUGGAUCAGAAGCACAUAACGCUUCUUUGCUUCAUUUUCAGAGCGGUAGGAGAUGAAUCCAACUUCGUGCUCUCCCCUCUGACCUGCCUCAUUACUGAAAGAAAGGGGCAGCCCAAAGCACGUCGAUGCAGAAAAGACCCGUUGGGUCCUGAGAUCCAUCAUGCUGCUGGAGGAAGGGUACGGCCUCUCCGAGGUCACAGCUGAGAUCAGCAAGUUUGGCUGUUUAAACAGUUUUGCAAGAAAAGAUGCUUUUGCUGUGGGAUUUGGGGUUGCUUUGGUCGGUUCCGCUUUUUCCCUGCGUCUGAUCCAGGCUGCCUGGAGGUAACCACGGUUUUGCCAAUGAUUUCACUGUAAUGGGAAUUUGAUCUUGAAGUACGCUGAGUUCACAGGCCUUAUAAACUAUAAUAUUUUGCACAUGUCUGCUCUCAAUCCGGACAGCCAGAGGGCUGAAGGUACAUUUCCUCACUGCAAACAGCAUGAAAUAGGUUUUGACUUAAAGGAGAGCCACAUUGCUGACAUUCGUGUCGUACCUUAGGGAGGGAAUGGAAGGAGAAUCGUGACCACCCACACUGUAUUGACUUUACUCCUUCUUUAACUAACUGGCAAACUUCUGAAAAUGUGCACAGUAGCCACUUUCUGAGAUACGAAAGCAAGCUCUAAAUUACGAUCCUCAAAUCACCAAUUCAGAGCCCUUAGAUAUAUAUAUUUUUCUCUGUUUCUUCCACUAUAAUUUCCGGGCUGGAGCUCCGGCCAUUAAUAGCAGCUACAUCAUUACGCUGCCGUGACACUCCGGCAGCACCCUCAUCCAUUUCAGUCAUUGAUCCGCUAAUGCGCGCCGGAUGAGAAAGGAAAAGGUCCCACUCAUUCAUCCUGCCCUCCCUCCUCCUCCUCUCACCAGGUGGCGACCACUCACCCUGUGCUUUAAAUCCCGAUCGGAUUUCAGAUGCUCAGUGUUAAUUGCCUCAGUACAAGGACUGACCCCGGACAGCAAAACUAAAAUUAAGGUAACAGGGCCAUAGAAGUGGGUGAGAUGCUACAGAAGUGGCUCUGCAGCUGCUUCCCGUGGUUACAGUCUGCGGGCAGCAUUGGAAAUGGCAAAUGAGAGCUGGAGCUGUGAAGCACGCAUGGGGUAUGAAGGUGAGCCAGGAAAAGAGGAGAAGAAAGGCUAAAGAAAUGAGGCAAUAAGGAGAUCAAAGGUGCAGCGACAUGCUGCUGCAGGAGUGGCACCUUAAGUAGCAUCAACUGCACAAGUAACACUGUAAUUCCUGCUGUGUGUGAGACCAGACAACUCCUUCCUAUGGGCAACCUGUUCUAGCAGGGGCAUCCAGCCCACAGCAGGGGCUGGAACUGGGUGAUGUGUAAGGUCCCUUCCAACCCAAGCCAUUCUGUGAUCCUGUGACCUACAGUAAACCCACGCAGCAGCUCUGUGUUAUGAGCCACAAAGAUACUGAGCUGAAAGAUAUAUACUGAGCUGAAAGAUAUGUUGGUGAUGCUUGUAGCUCCUUGGGAUCUUCUAACCCAGCAACUGGAUUCUUCUAAUCUAUCCAAGCAGCCUAUGGGCUGAUUCCUCCUUUCCCCAUCCACGUGUUGCUUGGUACAUCUGUUCUUUUGUUCUAUUUUUCCUUAUCCUUAUAUUGCUCAUUUUGGGGAUCAAAGGAUAAAGGAAAUAAAAAUCCUGUUAGUUCUCAAAGGUCCCCACAGCAGUAGAUAAUUGGUUUCCAAUCAAGCCCAGCCUGCCUUUGAUCUCCAGCUUGCACAGAACACUGUGCUCAGCCACAAGCAUGUGUUCAGUAACACUACCAGGAGAUCUAAUUUUGAACAUCCGCAAUUACCUGCGCAGCGGCACUUAUAACAGAUGAGAAGCGCUGAUAACAAUGCUCUGUUUUUGUGCCAUCUCACGUUAAUGAGACAGCACACCUUUCUAAGAGGGGCUGUCAGUAACACUGGCAUAGCGUGGGGCCGUGCAUCCAUCCUCCUCCUCCCCCAUUCUCCAUAGGGAAGCCAAAGAGUAAUGCGCUGCCUGUUCCCACCAUGAAAUGCUCUUGUUGUUGUUUAUCUUUCAGCAAAAGCAAGUCACAGUGCCCAGCAGCAAUGGAUGGGAGUGUUUUAAAGCCAGCUUUGCCACCAGCAGAACUGCAGUAUCAAACAAUGUGCCCUCAUUUGCCUUAGCAAGCAGCCCAUCUGUGCUGUUGCUUCUAACCUCCAUGCCCUUCCCCAGCGCACUGAGUACCCCUCUCUUCCUGCUCCCCCCCCAACCUGACCCCACUAAGACAUACCAGCCGUUUUGUUGCCAUCUCAAGGCAUAAGAAGUGCAGCCUGGGGAUGCAGAGUGCAGGAGACACACAGGGAUGUUCUCAGGCAUACCCAAACCGGCAGCUGACUGUUUCUUUAAAUAAACAGUAUACAUUCAUUUAGCUGAAAAUAGGUCUCCUGUCAAGCUCCUACCCUAGAGCAACUACCAGUUGCACUGUCAAAAUCGCUCUCUGUGGCUCUGAAUAGGUUUCUUAAUGAAAGAGCAACAUUAGCUCUUUAGAACAUUUUGUCCCUGAAGGAUGCAGCAGCAGCAGCAGCCGCUGAAUGAUUUCUGGCUCAGAGAUGCUUACAAAUGGGAGGAAACAUAAUGGUUUAAAAACACGAGUAUCAGCUCCCUGGAACUGCUUUGGAGCAGCGAUUUGGGAAGCCAGGAGAAAAAUGGAUGGUUCAGAGCGGUACCCGCUGAUGGUCGCUGCUUCCACAAGCAUGCUGAGCCCCAGGGAAUAACUGCAUGUGGGCACAGUGUCACCCAACCAAGCGGAGAUGGGAAGGAUUUGGGACAGCACCCAAAGAAAGACACGUUCUGACAAAAUGAAAUUUUAAUGCCCACUGGUUGCUGGAUUAAAUAAUGAUGAGCACCCGAAUGAAACGCUCUGUUUCUAUUCCUGCAGUCUGUUCAUAGUGACUGUCAGGGCGGUCACUUUUUAUUCUGGUUAAACUUGGGGCACUCACAGAGUGGGGUUGGACCUGAGCAGAGAGGGCUGGACUCAAAGCAAUGAAACAGAGCCUUUGUGGUGCAGCACGAGGCAGCACUCACGUGUCCUCUUCUUCCUUUAAGGGCUGAAGUCUCUGAACAGGGGCACGGGCACCACUUAUACAUUGAGAGAGAUUUACACACAGCCUUGUGCAUCUCCCAGUCUCACUUUCACACUGAUUUAAAUGUCAUUCUUUGGCAGGAAAACCCCACGAGGAGCUCUUGCACAGCAUGGUGGGUAUCAGGGUCAAGAACAAU